RNAcentral lists this ribosomal RNA (253 nucleotides) under uncultured bacterium. Its description in RNAcentral is "partial 16S ribosomal RNA". It matches the Rfam family "Bacterial small subunit ribosomal RNA", at positions 524 to 776 of the family's 1533-position model. The record is from RNAcentral.
UACGAAGGGAGCUAGCGUUGUUCGGAAUUAUUGGGCGUAAAGGGCGCGUAGGCGGUCUUUCAAGUUAGAAGUGAAAUGCCAGGGCUUAACCCUGGAACUGCUUUUAAGACUGAGAGGCUAGAGUUCGGUAGAGGAUAGUGGAAUUCCAAGUGUAGAGGUGAAAUUCGUAGAUAUUUGGAGGAACACCAGUGGCGAAAGCGACUAUCUGGACCGUUACUGACGCUGAGGCGCGAAAGCGUGGGGAGCAAACAGG